Non-coding RNA from Glossina brevipalpis, 79 nucleotides. The record is from Rfam. Lineage: Eukaryota; Metazoa; Arthropoda; Insecta; Diptera; Glossinidae.
GGGGAGGUUAAGUACGUAGGCACCAUGGAUGGUGAAUCGUACAUACUACUGGUAGUAUCUUUGGAAGAUUCCCUGCUCC